This 678-nucleotide ribosomal RNA is filed under the name Escherichia coli. RNAcentral describes it as "bacterial SSU rRNA". It matches the Rfam family "Bacterial small subunit ribosomal RNA", at positions 64 to 734 of the family's 1533-position model. The record is from RNAcentral. Lineage: Bacteria; Pseudomonadati; Pseudomonadota; Gammaproteobacteria; Enterobacterales; Enterobacteriaceae.
GAACAGGCAAAAAGCUUGCUGCUUCGCUGACGAGUGGCGGACGGGUGAGUAAUGUCUGGGAAACUGCCUGAUGGAGGGGGAUAACUACUGGAAACGGUAGCUAAUACCGCAUAACGUCGCAAGACCAAAGAGGGGGACCUUCGGGCCUCUUGCCAUCGGAUGUGCCCAGAUGGGAUUAGCUAGUAGGUGGGGUAACGGCUCACCUAGGCGACGAUCCCUAGCUGGUCUGAGAGGAUGACCAGCCACACUGGAACUGAGACACGGUCCAGACUCCUACGGGAGGCAGCAGUGGGGAAUAUUGCACAAUGGGCGCAAGCCUGAUGCAGCCAUGCCGCGUGUAUGAAGAAGGCCUUCGGGUUGUAAAGUACUUUCAGCGGGGAGGAAGGGAGUAAAGUUAAUACCUUUGCUCAUUGACGUUACCCGCAGAAGAAGCACCGGCUAACUCCGUGCCAGCAGCCGCGGUAAUACGGAGGGUGCAAGCGUUAAUCGGAAUUACUGGGCGUAAAGCGCACGCAGGCGGUUUGUUAAGUCAGAUGUGAAAUCCCCGGGCUCAACCUGGGAACUGCAUCUGAUACUGGCAAGCUUGAGUCUCGUAGAGGGGGGUAGAAUUCCAGGUGUAGCGGUGAAAUGCGUAAGAGAUCUGGGAGGAAUACCGGUGGCGAAGGCGGCCCCCCUGGA